Molecule: ribosomal RNA, 235 nt
Filed under: uncultured bacterium
Lineage: Bacteria
Description: partial 16S ribosomal RNA
Rfam family: Bacterial small subunit ribosomal RNA
Source: RNAcentral
UGAGCAACCUGCCCUUGACCCCGGAAUAACAGCUGGAAACAGCUGCUAAUACCGGAUACGACCUCCGACGGCAUCAUCUGGAGGUGGAAAGCUCCGACGGUCAAGGAUGGGCUCGCGGCCUAUCAGCUUGUUGGUGAGGUAACGGCUCACCAAGGCUUCGACGGGUAGCCGGCCUGAGAGGGCGACCGGCCACACUGGGACUGAGAUACGGCCCAGACUCCGUACGGGAGNAGCG